Molecule: ribosomal RNA, 395 nt
Filed under: uncultured bacterium
Lineage: Bacteria
Description: bacterial SSU rRNA
Rfam family: Bacterial small subunit ribosomal RNA
Source: RNAcentral
AAUGAACGCUGGCGGCGCGCCUAAUACAUGCAAGUCGAGCGAGAAGACGUAGCAAUACGUUUGUAAAGCGGCGAACGGGUGAGGAAUACAUGGGUAACCUACCCUAGAGUGGGGAAUAACUAGCCGAAAGGUUAGCUAAUACCGCGUACGCUCCUUGGACUUCGGUUCAGGGAGGAAAGCGAUGCCGAGGGUAUCGCGCUCUUGGAUGGGCUCAUGUCCUAUCAGCUUGNGGUGAGGUAACGGCUCACCAAGGCUUCGACGGGUAGCUGGUCUGAGAGGACGAUCAGCCACACUGGCACUGCGACACGGGCCAGACUCCUACGGGAGGCAGCAGUGGGGAAUAUUGGGCAAUGGGCGAAAGCCUGACCCAGCGACGCCGCGUGGGGGAGUGAAGG